AGAGUUUGAUCCUGGCUCAGAAUGAACGCUGGCGGCGUGCUUUACACAUGCAAGUCGAGCGAGGCGUCCCGCAAGGGAUAGUCGAGCGGCGAACGGGUGAGUAACGCGUGGAUAACCUGCCCUGAGGUGGGGGAUAACCAAGGGAAACUUUGGCUAAUACCGCAUGAUACCGAGAGGUCAAAGGGGGCUCGCAAGGGCUCUCGCCAUAGGAGGGGUCCGCGUACGAUUAGCUAGUUGGUAGGGUAAUGGCCUACCAAGGCGACGAUCGUUAGCCGGCCUGAGAGGGUGAUCGGCCACACUGGAACUGAGACACGGUCCAGACUCCUACGGGAGGCAGCAGUGGGGAAUUUUGCGCAAUGGGGGAAACCCUGACGCAGCAACGCCGCGUGGAGGAUGAAGGUCCUUGGAUUGUAAACUCCUGUCAGCAGGGAAAAAGCAACUUGACCUCAUACGUCAGGGAGUUGAUUGUACCUGCAGAGGAAGCCCCGGCUAACUCUGUGCCAGCAGCCGCGGUAAUACAGAGGGGGCAAGCGUUAUUCGGAAUUAUUGGGCGUAAAGGGCGCGUAGGCGGCUUGGCAAGUGGAAGGUGAAAUCCCUCGGCUUAACCGAGGAACUGCCCUCCAAACUGCUUCGCUUGAGACCGGGAGAGGUGAGUGGAAUUCCCAGUGUAGCGGUGAAAUGCGUAGAUAUUGGGAGGAACACCAGUGGCGAAGGCGGCUCACUGGACCGGUACUGAGCUGAUGCGCGAAAGCGUGGGGAGCAAACGGGAUUAGAUACCCCAGUAGUCC
Molecule: ribosomal RNA, 788 nt
Filed under: uncultured bacterium
Lineage: Bacteria
Description: bacterial SSU rRNA
Rfam family: Bacterial small subunit ribosomal RNA
Source: RNAcentral